This 101-nucleotide ribosomal RNA is filed under the name Salmonella enterica subsp. enterica serovar Typhi. Its description in RNAcentral is "partial 16S ribosomal RNA". It matches the Rfam family "Bacterial small subunit ribosomal RNA", at positions 1 to 96 of the family's 1533-position model. The record is from RNAcentral. Lineage: Bacteria; Pseudomonadati; Pseudomonadota; Gammaproteobacteria; Enterobacterales; Enterobacteriaceae.
UUGAAUUGAAGAGUUUGAUCAUGGCUCAGAUUGAACGCUGGCGGCAGGCCUAACACAUGCAAGUCGAACGGUAACAGGAAGCAGCUUGCUGCUUUGCUGAC